CUACGUGCCAGCAGCCGCGGUAAUACGUAGGGUGCGAGCGUUAAUCGGAAUUACUGGGCGUAAAGCGAGCGCAGACGGUUACUUAAGCAGGAUGUGAAAUCCCCGGGCUCAACCUGGGAACUGCGUUCUGAACUGGGUAGCUAGAGUAUGUCAGAGGGGGGUAGAAUUCCACGUGUAGCAGUGAAAUGCGUAGAGAUGUGGAGGAAUACCGAUGGCGAAGGCAGCCCCCUGGGAUAAUACUGACGUUCAUGCUCGAAAGCGUGGGUAGCAAACAGGAUUAGAUACCCUGGUAGUCCACGCCCUAAACGAUGUCGAUUAGCUGUUGGGCAGCUUGACUGCUUAGUAGCGUAGCUAACGCGUGAAAUCGACCGCCUGGGGAGUACGGUCGCAAGAUUAAAACUCAAAGGAAUUGACGGGGACCCGCACAAGCGGUGGAUGAUGUGGAUUAAUUCGAUGCAACGCGAAGAACCUUACCUGGUCUUGACAUCCCUCUGACCGCUCUAGAGAUAGAGUUUUCUUCGGGACA
RNAcentral lists this ribosomal RNA (526 nucleotides) under uncultured bacterium. RNAcentral's name for it is "bacterial SSU rRNA". It matches the Rfam family "Bacterial small subunit ribosomal RNA", at positions 501 to 1028 of the family's 1533-position model. The record is from RNAcentral.